RNAcentral lists this ribosomal RNA (254 nucleotides) under uncultured bacterium. RNAcentral describes it as "partial 16S ribosomal RNA". It matches the Rfam family "Bacterial small subunit ribosomal RNA", at positions 524 to 776 of the family's 1533-position model. The record is from RNAcentral.
UACAGAGGUCUCAAGCGUUGUUCGGAUUCAUUGGGCGUAAAGCGCUUUAGGGCGGUUCGCUAAGUCGCGUGUGAAAACUCCAGGCUCAACCUGGAGACGCCACGCGAUACUGGCGUGACUAGAGUUCGGUAGGGGAUCACGGAAUUCCUGGUGUAGCGGUGAAAUGCGCAGAUAUCAGGAGGAACACCGGUGGCGAAGGCAGAUCUCUGGGCCGUAACUGACGCUGAGGAGCGAAAGCAUGGGGAGCGAACAGG